Molecule: ribosomal RNA, 161 nt
Filed under: uncultured bacterium
Lineage: Bacteria
Description: partial 16S ribosomal RNA
Rfam family: Bacterial small subunit ribosomal RNA
Source: RNAcentral
UGGGGAAUAUUGGACAAUGGGCGAAAGCCUGAUCCAGCCAUGCCGCGUGUGUGAAGAAGGUCUUCGGAUUGUAAAGCACUUUAAGUUGGGGGGAAGGGCAUUAACCUAAUACGUUAGUGUUUUGACGUUACCGACAGAAUAAGCACCGGCUAACUCUGUGC